GCUUAGAGAACAGGAAGUGGGAGCCACAUACCCCGAGCUGGCGGCUUGAGCCUGUGGUAUCUAGGCUCACCUCACUGCGGUUGGUGGAGGUGAUGGAGGUUGCAGCUUGGCCAGCAUGGUAGAAAGGUGGCAGGGUAGACUCUAGAUUCUAGAGGGCAACCUCUGUUUGCUCAUGCUGGAGCGUGGCAGGUGCACAAUGUUUCCUUGGGAAUCCUCAGCAGGGCACGUCUGGCUUUUACCACCCAGUUGCUUCGAGCCAGGAGAUGGAGGAGUCAUCUGUUGCACGCUGGAGGCUGGAGCCUGCAGAUGGCAUGGUUCUGUGGCUCACCUCGCUGCAGUUGGUGGCAGAGACAGAGACUGCAGCUUGACCAGAGUGGUGGAGUGAGUAUUGUCAUCUGCAUGAGCAAAUCUGGUUCAUCACAUCUUUGCAACAGGAAAAGGAAGGGAGGAUCAUGUGUAUAAUGUUUUAAGGCCAAGAUUCACAACAAGAACAAAGUCUUUAUUAACUUUUGCCUUCAAGAACCUGCAGUGUUGAGCCCUUUUUUAUUUCUGGUAUUACU
RNAcentral lists this long non-coding RNA (560 nucleotides) under Homo sapiens (human). RNAcentral's name for it is "long intergenic non-protein coding RNA 408". Lineage: Eukaryota; Metazoa; Chordata; Mammalia; Primates; Hominidae. The record is from RNAcentral.